Molecule: ribosomal RNA, 481 nt
Filed under: uncultured bacterium
Lineage: Bacteria
Description: partial 16S ribosomal RNA
Rfam family: Bacterial small subunit ribosomal RNA
Source: RNAcentral
GGACGAACGCUGGCGGCGUGCUUAACACAUGCAAGUCGAACGAUGAACCUCGAAAUGCUUUCUUCGGAAAGAUUUUUGAGAGGAUUAGUGGCGAACGGGUGAGUAACGCGUGAGCAACCUGCCUUAGACAAGGGGAUAGCCUCGGGAAACCGUGAUUAAUACCCUAUGAGACUCCACUUACGAGUGUAAGAGAAGUUAAAGCUAUUGCGGUCUAAGAUGGGCUCGCGUCUGAUUAGCUAGUUGGUGAGAUAAAAGCCCACCAAGGCGACGAUCAGUAACCGGCUUGAGAGAGUGAACGGUCACAUUGGAACUGAGACACGGUCCAAACUCCUACGGGAGGCAGCAGUGGGGAAUAUUGCUCAAUGGGGGCAACCCUGAUGCAGCGACGCCGCGUGAGCGAUGAAGGAAUUCGUGUCGUAAAGCUCUGUCCUUGGAGAAGAUAAUGACGGUAACCAAGGAGGAAGCACCGGCUAAAUACGUG